RNAcentral lists this ribosomal RNA (508 nucleotides) under uncultured bacterium. RNAcentral describes it as "partial 16S ribosomal RNA". It matches the Rfam family "Bacterial small subunit ribosomal RNA", at positions 28 to 507 of the family's 1533-position model. The record is from RNAcentral.
GACGAACGCUGGCGGCGUGCCUAAUACAUGCAAGUCGAACGCUUCUUUCCUCCCGAGUGCUUGCACUCCAUUGGAAAGAGGAGUGGCGGACGGGUGAGUAACACGUGGGUAACCUACCCAUCAGAGGGGGAUAACACUUGGAAACAGGUGCUAAUACCGCAUAACAGUUUAUGCCGCAUGGCAUAAGAGUGAAAGGCGCUUUCGGGUGUCGUUGAUGGAUGGACCCGCGGUGCAUUAGCUAGUUGGUGAGGUAACGGCUCACCAAGGCCACGAUGCAUAGCCGACCUGAGAGGGUGAUCGGCCACACUGGGACUGAGACACGGCCCAGACUCCUACGGGAGGCAGCAGUAGGGAAUCUUCGGCAAAGGACGAAAGUCUGACCGAGCAACGCCGCGUGAGUGAAGAAGGUUUUCGGAUCGUAAAACUCUGUUGUUAGAGAAGAACAAGGACGUUAGUAACUGAACGUCCCCUGACGGUAUCUAACCAGAAAGCCACGGCUAACUACGUG